Molecule: ribosomal RNA, 371 nt
Filed under: uncultured organism
Description: partial 16S ribosomal RNA
Rfam family: Bacterial small subunit ribosomal RNA
Source: RNAcentral
GUAGGUGGCAAGCGUUGUCCGGAAUUAUUGGGCGUAAAGCGCGCGCAGGCGGUUCUUUAAGUCUGAUGUGAAAGCCCACGGCUCAACCGUGGAGGGUCAUUGGAAACUGGAGAACUUGAGUACAGAAGAGGAAAGCGGAAUUCCACGUGUAGCGGUGAAAUGCGUAGAGAUGUGGAGGAACACCAGUGGCGAAGGCGGCUUUCUGGUCUGUAACUGACGCUGAGGCGCGAAAGUGUGGGGAGCAAACAGGAUUAGGUACCCUGGUAGUCCACGCCGUAAACGAUGACUGCUAAGUGUUAGGGGGUUUCCGCCCCCUUAGUGCUGCAGCUAACGCAUUAAGCACUCCGCCUGGGGAUACGGCCGCAAGGCUG